CGUCACAAGCUAUAUAAGGUUAUGGGUUAGAUUUUGAGUUGUUUGAGUUCAAACAUGUCAUGCAAUAUUUUAUAUAAACUGAAAUUCUGAUAUCAUGGUGCCAUGAUACGAGUAUGAAGUAAAACUGAUCUAUCACUAGUUCACUACAGAUCGAUCAUAGCUGCUUAUGUCCAAGACAAUUAAACAAGAUAUACAUCUACAGAAACACUCUAUCUUGUUUGAGGAAUGCAAAUUACAUUUCUAUAUAUACUAGAAAGCCAAUAUGCAGAAGUUCAUGUAUAUCCUACGUAGAAAGGUUAGCUGGUUGAAUAAACCAAGUACUCAUCCUAUCUAGAGGUGGAGGCGGCAGAAGUGCCAGUAGCUGCCGGGUUUCAAGCAUUUGUGCCAUUGGCUGCGCCUGCUGAUGUAUUUGCCUUGAUGCCACGGGCGGCAGCUGCCCUCCUUAAAGCUUCGGGGCUACCUAACAUACAAGAAUCCUUGAGAACAGCUCUUGCUUUCCAGUCGACACCAGGCACACCAGGGUGAGGUCUAUCCUCACCACAACACAGACAGAGUAUUUCAGCAAAAGGGCCAACAGUUGCACCCACUGGAAGUUCAAUCUGGUAUGGGCAUGCUGAAGAGCAGUAGUCUUUCGACAAACAAACAUGACAAUACCGGUCAUCAGGGUGGAAAGCCCUAAAUGUUCCACCCUUGAGUCUUGCUUCUUUUAGCCAUUCCUUGAGCUCAGGAGUGAGGUUGGGGCACUGAAAGGUCGGGUGCCAAUCUGGAUUAGGACACAUCUUACAAGCCAAAGCAAAUUCACCUAUUUUAAUGUAAUUAGCCAAUGCUGGUCCUUCCGCCUUUUCCCCUUUCACUUUUGUUUUCUCAUUCUCCUUCAUAUAAUCUUCGGGGGCCACAAUAACCAUAUCUCUGUUUGGAUCAUCUUUGGGUAGAUCUUGCCAACGGAGGAUGACCGGCUUAUCAUCUUUGGGUAAAUCUUUCCAACGGCGGAUGACCGGCGGCGCAAAUGGCGGUUCUUUAGCUUUCUUGACCUUCCCGGAUGAUCUCCCCAUGGCUGUGUGCAGUUAGGAUUCGGCUUCGCUCUUAAACUUUCUUUCUCAGAUCCUUCUCAAAGUAAUGGUUUGGUAAUACUAUGUGAGAUAUGUAUAGAGAUGCUAACAUAAUCCUAAUAGGAAAAGAUCCAGAGAUACUAACAUAAUCCUAAUAGGAAAAGGAAAAGAUCUCCUACGUACAAUUCUACAUAAUAUAUAUCCUACACACACAAGGAAAGUAAGUACAUAAUAUAUAUCCUCUACACACAAGGAAAGUAAGUAUAUACAAUAUAUUUUACACUCACCCUCAGUGUCAUCGUCGACAGUUGACGGAGGUGAGAAAUCCGACUAGGUCGGAUUAUCCAGAUACGGUUGGGUCAAACGGGUUUCGUCUACACCGGAAGGUAAAAAGAAUUUAAUUAUCAUAGGUAAUUUUCGCAAAGUUUGGUGUGAUGCAAGUUUUUUUCAUGGUUUAUUAGAGGUCAAUAAACUGAUUAUUAGAGGUCGUUAACCUAAUUAAUAGGGGUCCAAAAGCAUGAAUAAAGUUUAUUGAACAUGAAUAAAGCCUUCACCGAGGAUCCAGUUAGGUUCCAGCGAAAUUAUUGAUGCGGCUCAAAGCCUCUCUGGACUCAAACACACAAGACAACAUGAGAAGAAGAUAGUGAUGCCCUGGCGGCUGCCAAUACUUAUAAUAUAUGAAUGAUCAAAAGACCCCUUACAAGAGCCAAUACAUCUUUUAAAUAGAGAACAAAACCUAGCUAGUCCUUAAAAGGAAGUAAGCAACAACAUUAAAACUACCACAACUUAAUAGGUACGUAAAUAACCAAAGCAUAAUAUAAUAAGGAAUCAUCUUUUGGACCAAACCUAGUCCUUAAGAUACUCUGGCGCCUGUGCAUUCCUCUUGGCCCUUGGUUCAUCACCAGGCAUAGCUCCCGCAUCAAUUAUGGUGACGACCGGAGAAAUUUCGGCAACCGAAGAAAGUUCUGGCAAAAUCUUCACUCUUCCACUUUUUCUCUCCAUAUACAUGUUUAAUAGGUAAGGGUCAAAUAACCUCAUCAAAAUAAACAAAAGAAUAAUUUUUCUUUUUUGACUAGUUAAAAAUUGUUGAUUUUGUUUGAGCCCAACAGAUAUUUUGGUCCAUGACUAGAUUAAUAAAGUCUUGGAUAUCAUUUGGGUCAAUACAUGUGGCUCUAGAAAUAAAGCCUUUUUGGAUAUGAACCCUAGAGACACGCGAGAGGUGGGUUCCUAAGCGAACUGUAACACUUCGCGGGAUAAGGAAGUCUUCAGUGUUUGAGUCCGCCUCGGAGAAUGAGAAGUUUUCAAUAAGCGAAGGGUCAGUACAUGUGACCUAAGCGAAGUCUACCUAUGUAAUUGGACAGGCGUCACCCAGUUACUUAGUUUGCAAGCAAAACGAAUCCUUGUAUAACUUUGGUAGCAGAAUCCUACUUAGGUUGUGGGAUUGCAUCCUUAUCAGUUAAUUACAAGCCCCUAUAUAAGGAGGGUUCGAGGAUCAGUCCAAACACAUAAUCAUCUCAUACAAACAACUACAAACCUUCGAUCUAAUCGAAACCGAGACGCUAAAGCACCUCGCCUUAGCCUUACAGAGCUCGUUUGGUCUCGCCUUGCUUACUAUCCCAAUUGUUGCUCUGCUCGCCCGCCGAGUAUUGAUCGAUUGCAAACGGAUAAGAGGAUUGCUUGUAAUCCUCGUCCGCAAGGUGGCACCGGAAGCCCCUGUCGUUUGAUUAGAAGUCUAGUACCGGUGCACUUUGCAUUCCGCGUCCGCAUGGUGGCACGCCCCACACCCUUCCUUUUAUAUUUGGACUUGCCAAGUUACCCCUCUACCCCUGCUGAGGAUCGUGGCCAAAACAUAUUUAGGCACAAAUAAAGUUAGAUUACAUUCAAAUGAGAUGAAUUUUAUAGUGUCAUUAUUUUUGAAUCAAGAAAAAUAUCAUUGAUGACUACCAAAGCAGUAGGAGUACAAAUGUAGAGUUACAAGCAAAUCAACAACUAAAGUAAAAUUCUUGCGUACAUAUAUAGGGCAAAUAAGAAUAAAGUGAUUUGCAAGGGACCACAUCCUCGUUACACAAUUCAUGCUCACCUAACUAAGCAAGCCUAUAGUAGGCAAAAAACUUACAGGAAAAUCAAUAACUAAACUGAAAUUCAACCAUGCCACAUAGGGCAGAUUUAUUUGCAAAAGUAAAUAUAACGAGAAAUUUUUAGAUGCUACAGGAGGAUCACGUGACAGUAUGAUGUGGUCCUACAAUCCAAUCAAAUAUUGACAUGUGGAUUUAUUACAACUAAAAUAUAAACUAAGGUUUUCUAUUUUUUGUGAAAUGACCUUCAUGGGUCUUUGUUGAGUUUGGACUUUGUUGAUUUUGGACUAGGAUUUAGGGGUUAGGGUUUAGGGGUUAGGGUUUAGGGUUUAGGGUUGAAGGUUUAGAGUUAAAGGUCUAGGGUUUAGAGUUUAUGGUUUAGGGUUUAAAAAGCAACAACAAACCCAAAAUUGUCUUUGAUAAAAUAGCUGAUCUAAUUUUUCCGUAAUAAAAUCUAUGUGUUAAUAUUUGAUUGGAAUGUAGGAACACGUCAUACUGCCACAUAGUCCUCCCGUAACGCUAAAAAAUUUCUCAUAAUAUAACCUAUUAUUUAUGGAAAAUAGAGCAUAGCUAUUUAUUCUAAGAAUAAUAAAAGCCAUGAGUCUAAACUCAGAUUUUCUCCUUUGCCCUUAGAAGUAGGACAAGGAGGUGCAGGCACUGAAACAAACUCGAGUGGAGGUACCUCUGAUUGUCCGACUUCUUAUCCUUGCUUUCAAUCGGACGGCCAGUCUUUCUUUUCCUCACAUAGGUCACUGGACCUUCCACUGGGACAUCUACCAGCUCACCAAUGUGAAAGAGAAAAGUUCCCAAUCCGGCCCAAAAACCCCCCCGAUCAAUUGAUUUUUUGAAGAAGAUUUGGGCCCAGCAGCCAGCCCUUUAGAAACCAAGUCCAACCCAGCAGAAAAAUGCAUCCCCACCUCCGGCCCAUGAUCCUCAGGCCCAGUCAAUGCCAAAUCCUGAUUCUCAGCGGUCAACCCUAAUUUGAGAUUAGGUUUCCCGCCGAAGAAUCCGAGCAUAGCUCGACUUCCUCUGGCGCUGCCGUUUGACCCGUUUCGAUGUCGUCCAUCCUCACCUCAGAUCUUGCCGCAUUCCUCCCAGGUUCAUCGACCUCCAACACCUCCUCAUCUCCGAGUUCAUAUCCAACACCACUAAAGGCAGAGUUGCCAUGACAGCAACCUCCAAACCCUUAUCACACACACCGCCGCCAUGUCCAAAGAAACCACAUGCCCCGCAGACGCCGUGACAUUUCUCAAAGCGAAACUCCAAGUUCGGCGCCUCCAAAUUCACCGACGAACAUCAUGGAUUAGGAGGAUCUUUUGGAUGUGCUCCUUACGCAGAAGGGCACCUUGCUCCGCCCUAACGAACUGCCCCAACGCGUUUCCAAUUCGGGUUAGUCACAUAUCAUUUGGUUGGUCACUACAAGCGAAACGAGGUCUUGGUCUAUGGAAACGAAUAUUUAUCUCCUUACGUUAUCUUGUUUAUCUGUUGUUACCCCGAUAACAGGUUCCGUCAACAGCAUUACAAUCCCCAGAGAAAGAAAAAUGUGACGUUGGUUUCUGGUCAACCUAAAAGCAAACUAACGGAGUAACAACUCUUUAUCGUUAACGGAUCAAAUCAUCAAUCCAAACUCAUCCAGACUAGAACUAGAACAGAACCGCAAAGCAUUUUGGUCCAAAGAAGAUCACCAAAGCGACAUACGCAAACCGUGUAUGAGGAUGAGCACCUGCUGCAUCAGACUAAUCAAAAGAAAUGGGACGACAGAGAUGAUAAGAGCAAACUGAACUAUAUAGCAUCCAACCAACUACACAUCAUAUCUGCAUUUGUCCUAGACAAUUAAACAAGGAUAUACAUCAAUAUAAUAACUCUAACUUGUUUGUUCCGAAUUACAUUUCUAUUCCAGAGAGCCCAUCUGCAAAGGUACAGGCAAAUCAGACUCUAAUGUAUCCUACGCAGAAAGGCUGGUUGAAGAAACCAAGUACUCAUCAGAUGUGGAGGUGGAGGUGGCAGUGCCAGCAGUUGUGGCUUUUGAAGCACUUGCCUUCAGGACAGUGCCACUGGCUGCUGCAGAUGUAUUUGCCUUGAUGCCGCGGGCGGCAGCUGCCCUUCUUAAAGCUUCAGGGCUACCUAACAUACAAGAAUCCUUGAGAACAACUCUUGCUUUCCAGUCGACACCAGGCACACCAGGGUGAGGUCUAUCCUCACCACAACACAGACAGAGUAUUUCAGCAAAAGG
This 5357-nucleotide long non-coding RNA is filed under the name Fragaria vesca (wild strawberry). RNAcentral describes it as "long non-coding RNA (FVES_LNC001435)". Lineage: Eukaryota; Viridiplantae; Streptophyta; Magnoliopsida; Rosales; Rosaceae. The record is from RNAcentral.